GAGGGMAAGYCUGGUGCCAGCAGCCGCGGUAAUUCCAGCUCCAGUAGCGUAUAUUAAAGUUGUUGCAGUUAAAAAGCUCGUAGUUGGAUUUGUGGUGUUUUUUUUUUUUAUUUGCUUUUUUUGGUUUCUUGUUUUUCUCUUUUUGAGAUGAAUUUAAGACUUGGAAGCGAGGACACCAUCCUUGACAGGUUUGAAAGUGAUAUUAUAUCACCGCAAACAUUGUCAUCCUUUACUUUGAAAAAAUUGGAGUGAUUCAAGCAGGCAAGAAUUAUAAUUUUAAUUUUAAUUUAACUUUGCUUCUGCACAUGUUAGCAUGGAAUAAUGCAAGAGGACUUGGGUUUUCUCUUUCAUUGGUUUCAGGAAUCCGAGUAAUGAUUGAUAGGGACAGUUGGGGGUGCUCGUACUCGACGGCCAGAGGUGAAAUUCUUGGAUUCGUUGAAGACGAACAACUGCGAAAGCAUUCACCAAGGAUGUCUUCUUUAAUCAAGAACGAAAGUUGGGGGAUCGAAGAUGAUCAGAUACCGUCGUAGUCCCAACCAUAAACGAUGCCGACCAGGGAUCAGCGAGCGUUGACUUGGCGUUCUCCACUUUUUUAUUUAUAAGAUUUUGUAGAUUUUGCCAACCUCAUUAAUUUGAAACGACCUCGUUGGCACCUUGCGAGAAAUCACCAGUCUUUGGGCUCCGGGGGGAGUAUGGUCGCAAGGCUGAAACUUAAAGGAAUUGACGGAAGGGCACAACCAGCAGUGGAGCCUGCGGCUUAAAUUGACUCAACACGGGGAAACUUACCAGGUCCAGACAUCAUAAGGAUUGACAGAUUGAAGHUCUUUCUUGAUUYKRUGG
RNAcentral lists this ribosomal RNA (840 nucleotides) under Reticulamoeba gemmipara. RNAcentral describes it as "partial 18S small subunit ribosomal RNA". It matches the Rfam family "Eukaryotic small subunit ribosomal RNA", at positions 553 to 1284 of the family's 1831-position model. Lineage: Eukaryota; Cercozoa. The record is from RNAcentral.